UGUUAAAGGUCCGACGGGGACGUAAACAUCGCCAGGGUGGCCAGUUUUGCUAAGCGAUUUAACAAAAGCAGGUGUUGUGCACACUGAUUACCUCGCAGCGUUUUAUCUAAUCGGUGGAUAUUCAUUUACUCUCGAUGUCGUGAGAGUCCUGAGUUUAGAGAGACAUAGCUAGUGUUGUCCUAGCCGAGUGGCUAGUUCAGCUAACAUCCGCUUUACCAGCUCGCAGCACAGAUGCAGGUGGAGGAGGUUUGUUGUCUUUUAUCUUUGCUGAAGUCAAGGUGAAAUCAUAAGUUAUAUUAAACUUAGGUUUGGUUGGAUAAUCUCGCUAGGUCGCUGUGUUAGCUAGGUUCCUAGCUAAGUUGGCUGACAUCUUCCCGAGGACUAUCACGCUAAACCCGGUCAUGUCUACCUCGAGUUUUAAGAAUAAAUGUGUCAGUCAGGUGAACUGCGUUUACUGCGACAGCCUUCUGUGUACGAGGGGUAUGAAGGCCGUGCUUCUGGCUGACACCGAAAUCGAGCUGUUUUCUACCGACCUCCCCCCCAACAGAACUGUGGACUUUGUUGCAGGCUGCUAUUCUACAGAAAGUUGUAAAUGCAAGUUAAGAGACAUUGCCUGCCUGAAAUGUGGAAACAUUGUGGGGUAUCAUGUGGUGGCACCGUGCAAGCCCUGCCUCCUCUCCUGUAACAAUGGGCACUUUUGGAUGUUCAACAGUGAAGCUGUGUCCACUGUCAACAGACUAGAUGCAUCAGGACUUAAUCUGCUGCUCUGGGGAGAUCUCCCAGAGCUGGAGGGCAGCGAGGACGAGAGCCCAGACAGCCUUUCAGAGGAGGAGUACCUCAGAUAGAUCGAGCAGAACUAGAGGCACUGUCUAAUGAACCACUAAUUAUUUGUUGCCUAGCUCCCAAGAAUCUUCGUUUCAAGCACACUUAGUGAAGCCUUGAACUGGCUCCCGCACACAUUAUGGAUCGCUCUCUUCGGUGAGCAGCCGCUCGCUUUUAAAAUGUGUUGGUCGUAUUGCUUCCUUGCAGGUUUACUGUCACAAUCUAUGUAUGUAGAUUUUGGACAGGUUGCUUAAAACAAUAAUUGCUCCUCAGAACAGCCAAUCAAGGUAGUAUGAUGUUCAGUUAAAGGGUUGUUUCCAAAUCAUAGGCAUUUCUAAUUUAGUUUUCUAAGGACACCGGCUCAGAAGUGAGAACUGACAAAGUGCAGCAAACGUUCUUGGUUUCUGUCUCUCAUCACAUGUACCUUCCACUUUAACUGUAUGUCAGUACAUUUAAUUUUUUUUUUCGUCUACUGAAAUGAGGACGAUCAUUAGACUGGCAAAAGGAGAAGAAGGAAGGGGGUCAAAUAACUUUGGUACACCACAGCACAUGAUGUGAAAAUGCAGCUAAUGUACGUUCAGAGAGUGUGAGCCAAGGCCCAGUCCUGUCAUCCCCAACGUGGAAAAACUGGUCUGUUACUUUCGCAAGACCACGUUGUUUUGUGUAACCGUUUGCUAGCAGUUGCGCUUCUUCGAUGUUAACCAUUUCACUGUAUGAUGGACACAGAACUCUCUGAAACAAUAUUCAGAUUUUUCAAGAAUGUUUUCAUUUUCUUGUAAUUAGUAUAAGGGAGAAAACAAAUUCAGAGAAUUCAGAUGUAUUGGCGUCUCGAGCGGUAAUAAAGUUCCCGGCAUGAGCAGUUGUCAUUAUGAAGAUAUGACCAAAAUGAAAUGUUAGAAAUGAGAUCUUAUAUUUUAAUUUAUUAAUAAAAAUCAGUCUAUUUGUUGUAAUUUAUCAACAUUUCGAUUGUAUGUAUUUAACAAACAUGUAUUUAUACUUAUGGAUAGCUUGCACCAUCCGAAAACUGAAAAAAGUUUGUAAUUCUUUACAUUUGCACUGAAAAUGUCUCCGUUUGAACUUUGGCUUGUUUUGUAUACUCGCGGUCUGGACAUUAAACCUUUUCUUUUUUAAUUGA
Electrophorus electricus (electric eel) is the source of this 1957-nucleotide RNA transcript. It is a transcript of the gene named protein FAM72A, with no coding region annotated. The record is from RefSeq and is a predicted model, not a curated record. NCBI's taxonomy places the organism in Eukaryota, Metazoa, Chordata, Actinopteri, Gymnotiformes, Gymnotidae.